ACUAUAUGAGCACUCCAAGAAGUCAAACCCACUUCUUGUUACAACGCCUCACAAACAACAAGUCAAACCCACUUCUUAUUACUCAGACUCACAACGUUCAAUAAUAGAAAAGAUUACAACUCAGAAUCUAUCCUAUUACAGACUCAAAACUCAUCAAUUUACUCCAACUGGUGAUAUCAACAAAAACUACUAACUCUAGCCUUAAACUUCUCAAACUUCAACUUUCAGUAAUGCAAAUUCGAACAGAAACUGUGAAGCAGGUUUCUAUUUUGCUGUGAUGAGGUCCUGCAGUUUUUGCUUUGAUGGCUAUUGUUCUCAAGAUGAUAUAUUUCGUGGAUGUGCAAUAGGUGCGGCUCUCAAUGAUUUUCAUGCCAUAUAUAUAGUGGAGAUUUGUCAUACCCUAGAAUAUCAUGGACUAGGACUCUUUCUCUAAAUGGAAUAUGGUUUCCUGUAAGGAAUUAGGUGAUUCCUUUCCUUAUAAGGAGAUUACAUCAUAUAAUGAAACUUUGAAUCCUCUUUAAACUCUAUUUCUUCUUUUUUAUUUCUAUCCUUCUUUGCUAAUUUAUUUCAUUCUUUCUUUGCUCCUUUCUUUCCUUGUUUGCUCCUUUGUUUAUUUUCUUCUUUACCAAUCUUUCUUAUUUGCACUUGAUUUCCUUGUGUAUUCAUGUCACCUGCUAUGGGACCUAGUUCACAACUGUUCAGGGACCUGGUUCACCGGAUACAACAUACAAAAGACAACAAGUAGUAAAUCAGGUUCUUAUUUUUCAAUCAUCAAAACUAUAAACAUGUUCUCUUACUUUCCAACAAGUGACGAUGUGGUUGCGGGACAAAUCCACCUAGACCUGCGAAGAUGUUAAGAAAACCUUUUAUUUUUUCAAAACCCAUCUCGCUUAGCACUGCAUACUGUUGUUUAA
This 914-nucleotide long non-coding RNA is filed under the name Capsicum annuum. RNAcentral's name for it is "long non-coding RNA (CANN_LNC007119)". The record is from RNAcentral. Lineage: Eukaryota; Viridiplantae; Streptophyta; Magnoliopsida; Solanales; Solanaceae.